This 366-nucleotide ribosomal RNA is filed under the name uncultured bacterium. RNAcentral's name for it is "partial 16S ribosomal RNA". It matches the Rfam family "Bacterial small subunit ribosomal RNA", at positions 338 to 701 of the family's 1533-position model. The record is from RNAcentral.
CCUACGGGAGGCUGCAGUGAGGAAUAUUGGUCAAUGGACGGAAGUCUGAACCAGCCAUGCCGCGUGCAGGAUGACGGCUCUAUGAGUUGUAAACUGCUUUUGUACGAGAAUAAUCGUGCUUACGUGUAGUGAUUUGAAAGUAUCGUACGAAUAAGGAUCGGCUAACUCCGUGCCAGCAGCCGCGGUAAUACGGAGGAUUCGAGCGUUAUCCGGAUUUAUUGGGUUUAAAGGGUGCGUAGGCGGUUUGAUAAGUUAGAGGUUAAAUGUCGGGGCUUAACCCCGGGACUGGCUCUGAUACUGUUCGACUAGAGAGCGGAUGCAGCAGGCGGAAUUAGGAGUGUAGCGGUGAAAUGCCUAGAAAUUACU